This is a non-coding RNA of Pelobates cultripes (western spadefoot toad), 449 nucleotides long. The record is from the annotation of a GenBank genome assembly. NCBI's taxonomy places the organism in Eukaryota, Metazoa, Chordata, Amphibia, Anura, Pelobatidae.
CUCGGUCUGGUGCUCCAUGCAAGAUCUCACCUUGUGGAGUUUCAAAGAUCAUGAAAAUGGUGUGGAAUCAGCCCAGAACUACACUGGAUGAUCUUGUUAAUGAACUUAAGGCAGCUGGGACAUGUACAGGCCCGUCUAAAGUUUGCCAAUCAACAUCUGAAUGACUCAGAGGAGAACUAGGUGAAAGUGUUGUGGUCAAAUGAGACCAAAAUCAAGCUCUCUGGCAUCAACUCAACUCGCAGUGUUUGGAGGAGGAGGAAUGCUGCCUAUGACCCCAAGAACACCAUCCCCACCAUCAAACAUGCAGGUGGAAACAUUAUGCUUUGGGGGUGUUUUUCUGCUAAGGGGGCAGGACAACUGAUCCGCAUCAAAGGGACGAUGGACGGGGCCAUGUCCCAUCAAAUCUUGGGUGAGAACCUCCUUCCCUCAGCCAGGACAUUGAAAAUGUG